AUUAUUAGUUCAAUUCAAUAGAACGCGGGUCUCCAAAACCUAAUGUUGUAGGUCCAAAUCCUAUAGAAU
Glycine soja is the source of this 69-nucleotide non-coding RNA. Lineage: Eukaryota; Viridiplantae; Streptophyta; Magnoliopsida; Fabales; Fabaceae. The record is from Rfam.